AAUCAAACCAAGGGGAGUGCAUUGUACAUUCAGAGUGCUACAGCUGAGAAGGACCUUUCCCAGUCUCCAUUUGGGCUAUUGCUUCCUAUGGUGAACUUCUUUGUGGCAGGUGCAGUUCUGUUUUCUUACAUGUUAAUUUUUUCCUGUUUUAUUAUCCUGUCCAUCACCAGCAAGCAGGACCCUGGCACCAACUAAAGGGACAUUUCUCCUAGCUGAAGCGACACCUAUUUGCCUUCCAUGGGAAGGAUGUGACACUCUUCUGGCCAUGGAGAACGUCCCAGUGGUACAAACAGUGCACAGCUCAGCGCAUGCAGCUUGAAGCCCGAGACAAGCGCAAUUUUUCCUGAAGCCACAGAAUUGCAGUUUCAGAGAAAUUUCAUUCCAAUCAAACAAAGGGUCAAGCCACAACCUCUGUUAAACACUUAGGCCUGAAUCCUACUGGCAGACCUAACUUGUGUUGACCCAAUAGAUCAGUUGUUAAAAGGCUUUGUUCAGAGGAGGUUUGCGAUUGCCAUCCCAUGAAGCUGAGGACAUGUGGCUUUGCCCAAGCUCAUCCAAUGGGUUUCGUGGCCAAGAUGGGAAUUGAACCCUGGUCUCCAGAAUUGGCUGUUGUGAGAACCUGCAGUGUUGGAGUAGUGGAUGAGCAGGCAUGAAGGAUGGACCUCCAAUCCCAGGCUGUUUUGGGAUAUUGCUAAGACAGACACAGAGAGAAGAAAUCACAGCAAUGAACCAACAUAUUUGCCCUGACUGGAUGAGCUCAUGAGCAUCAUCAGCUACUCCAGAGCAUGUGCCAACUGUAUCACUAAAUAAGUAAGUAUAGGCAACCGAAAAGACUGAGGCCACACUCCAAUGCCACACUCAUCCCAAGGCUUCAAGGCUGUCAUCAAACUGCCCUGCCAACUCUGCCACAAUUCCUGUGGAGCAUGGAAAAGGGCCCUGGCUCCUUUGGAAGUCCGCUGGUUUAAAGAGAGGGAGCUACUGAACGUGAAAUGUGCCUGUCUGACAACUGUAGUUUGGUGAGGUGCUAGGCCUCUCUGACAGACCAGCCUGAGUACCUUGCUAAACUAUAAAUCCCAGGAUUCUUUAGGAUGGGGCCAUGACAGUUAAGGUGGUGUCAAACUGCUUUAUGUCUGCAGUGUGAAAGAGCUUUCAAAAAGGUAGACUGAACUUUGAAAAAAAUUACUUUGGGGGCCACAACUCCAGCAAGCAGGCCAUUCUGGGAGUUGUAGUCUACAAAAGUAACAUUUGCAAACUCUGAAGAUAAGUCAGUGCUGCAUUUAUUCCCUCCAAUCACAAAAAUUCCCUACCCUCCAGUCUUGCCUUUUAAAAAAAAAGCAUCAGAGCACAGAAGAAUGUGGAGGGGUUGAAAGCCUCUUGAGAGCAGGUAGCGCCAUCUGUGCAAGGGCUCUACCUCCUCCAAGGCAGCAGGGGGGAGGGGGAGGGCAUGGAAGAUCAGUUUACAUAAGUGCUUUACCAUAUGAACAAAUAAUUUAGUGGUAUUAAUAGAGGUUAAAGUUUCCCAGGAAUCCAAAACAGGCCCCUCAGGCACAGGUGGGUUGUUUCACUCACAGGGCGGGAGGGAGUAACAUGACACCAGCAAGAGGAGAUGACAGGAGGCAGAAACCCAGCCAGAAUUUACACUGUGCAAAUAGGGUGUGGUGGGUCUUUGCCUGCAUCCCAGCUGAUUUAUUAGGAGGCCUUCAAACAAAGGCUUUGGUGGGGAUUGUGCCAUCCAAUGUGCUGCAUCCUCAGCCUCCCAUCACCAGCAAAAUGCAAGGCAUUUGCAAUACAAAGUGCGGAGACAAGAUGCCAGUUAGGUUUGGAGAAGAAAGAUCAUUUAGGAAGCAUUGGGUGGGGGUUAUGUGUAAAGAAAGAAGACAAAUGCAAGAACAGAUGAAGUACUGCAUAGCCUGAGUGCAUGAGGAGAACACAUAUGUGCUCCGAGUUGAUAGAUCUGGUGAUUAUUUAUUUAUUUAUUUAUUUAUUGACAGGCCCAACACCAUCGGGCCCGGCCUCGAUUAAGGAAAAGAGCCCUCCCUUCAGUCCAUCUGCCUUGGUCCAGGCCUCAGAGGGAGAGA
RNA transcript from Sceloporus undulatus (fence lizard), 2078 nucleotides. RefSeq lists it as uncharacterized. Lineage: Eukaryota; Metazoa; Chordata; Lepidosauria; Squamata; Phrynosomatidae. The transcript has 7 exons. The record is from RefSeq and is a predicted model, not a curated record.